Molecule: microRNA precursor, 104 nt
Filed under: Glycine max (soybean)
Lineage: Eukaryota; Viridiplantae; Streptophyta; Magnoliopsida; Fabales; Fabaceae
Description: miR4403 stem-loop (gma-MIR4403)
Source: miRBase by way of RNAcentral
GACACGGACACCGAACACGACACGGACACGGACACGUGAAUACCUGUCAAACACAUCAAAUUCAACCCGGACACGGGCGUCGAUGUUGUGUCGGUGUCGGUGUC